RNAcentral lists this unclassified non-coding RNA (227 nucleotides) under uncultured Gammaproteobacteria bacterium. RNAcentral's name for it is "contains 16S-23S intergenic spacer region". The record is from RNAcentral. Lineage: Bacteria; Pseudomonadati; Pseudomonadota; Gammaproteobacteria.
UCCCCGUUCUCCUGGGCAGCCUCUCGGACAUGUCAAGGGUAGGUAAGGUUUUUCGCGUUGCAUCGAAUUAAUCCACAUAAUCCACCGCUUGUGCGGGUCCCCGUCAAUUCCUUUGAGUUUUAACCUUGCGGCCGUACUCCCCAGGCGGUCGACUUCACGCGUUAGCUUCGUUACUGAGAGUGUCAAACCCCCAACAACCAGUCGACAUCGUUUAGGGCGUGGACUAC